Molecule: ribosomal RNA, 468 nt
Filed under: uncultured bacterium
Lineage: Bacteria
Description: partial 16S ribosomal RNA
Rfam family: Bacterial small subunit ribosomal RNA
Source: RNAcentral
GACGAACGCUGGCGGCGUGCUUAACACAUGCCAGUCGAACGGAAAGGCCCUGCUUUUGUGGUGUGCUCGAGUGGCGAACGGGUGAGUAACACGUGAGUCACCUGCCCUUGACUUUGGGAUAACUUCAGGAAACUGGGGCUAAUACCGGAUAGGAGCUCCUGCUGCAUGGUGGGGGUUGGAAAGUUUCGGCGGUUGGGGAUGGACUCGCGGCUUAUCAGCUUGUUGGUGGGGUAGUGGCUUACCAAGGCUUUGACGGGUAGCCGGCCUGAGAGGGUGACCGGCCACAUUGGGACUGAGAUACGGCCCAGACUGCUACGGGAGGCAGCAGUGGGGAAUAUUGCACAAUGGGCGGAAGCCUGAUGCAGCAACGCCGCGUGCGGGAUGACGGCCUUCGGGUUGUAAACCGCUUUCGCCUGUGACGAAGCGUGAGUGACGGUAAUGGGUAAAGAAGCACCGGCUAACUACGUG